Molecule: ribosomal RNA, 425 nt
Filed under: uncultured bacterium
Lineage: Bacteria
Description: bacterial SSU rRNA
Rfam family: Bacterial small subunit ribosomal RNA
Source: RNAcentral
GGGGAAUAUUGGACAAUGGGCGCAAGCCUGAUCCAGCCAUGCCGCGUGGGUGAAGAAGGCCUUCGGGUUGUAAAGCCCUUUUGUCCGGAAAGAAAAGCACUGGAUUAAUACUUCGGUGUUCUGACGGUACCGGAAGAAUAAGCACCGGCUAACUUCGUGCCAGCAGCCGCGGUAAUACGGAGGGUGCGAGCGUUGUUCGGAAUUAUUGGGCGUAAAGCGCACGUAGGCGGCUCUUUAAGUCUCAUUGUGAAAGCCCGCGGCUCAACCGCGGGAGGCCAAGGGAUACUGGAGGGCUGGAGACAGGUAGAGGCGAGCGGAAUCCCGGGUGUAGCGGUGGAAUGCGUAGAGAUCCGGAAGAACACCAGAGGCGAAGGCGGCUCGCUGGACCUUGUCUGACGCUGAGGUGCGAAAGCGUGGGGAGCGAA